Molecule: long non-coding RNA, 1014 nt
Organism: Clupea harengus (Atlantic herring)
Lineage: Eukaryota; Metazoa; Chordata; Actinopteri; Clupeiformes; Clupeidae
Source: Ensembl
CGUCCAGGUAGCGUUGGAGUAGCUAACAAGCAAGCGAACAUGACUGUCCAGUCAACUAGCAUGCUAGCCUUAUUCAUGGAUAUCAAAAGACGUCCCUUCCAAAAAGCCUCCCGCGAUAUUUGUGCUCGAUUCGGACCAAAGACCCUCUCCCUCCAGCUAUCAAGUGCUGUGUCGGGAAUGAAGUUCUUUGUGGAGGAAGAAGCGCAUGCGUAGGCUGAAGCGCAAAAGGAGAAAGAUGAGGCAGAGGUCCAAGUAAACUGCUUCCCUUCUGCUGCAGCUGGAACUGCUCCUCCUAGACCUUCCCACCGACCCCUCGCCUUCUCCAGAAACCCAAGCUGAGGCCUUUUGAAGGACUCCUACAUUCCUCAGAAGGAUGCGGGCACCCUUGUUGGAUCUCCUGGCUCUUCUAUUUGUGAUGUGCUGACCUGUGAAAGCUUCUCUUGGACAUUCUGGACUUCCGCCAGCUCAGCAAAGUUUUUGUUUAUAUUUCCUUGAAUAAAGAAAUUUGAUUUGGAAAAGGGGAAAUGCUGUAUUCUAUUUCUACCACUACGAUGGUACAGGUUUUUUUUUUUUUUUUUUUAAUGCUCCAGUUUUAUAGUUGGACUGGUGGGGGUUUAGUUAACCUGUGAUGUAGUGUAGAUGGUCAAAUAAGGUUUUCUUGGUUAGAGUUCAUGGAAUUUCACCAAGUUUUAAAAAAAAAAAACGGACCAGGAAAAUAUUUCGCUCCAUGUCUAGGAAUGAAGUUCAUCCAACCAUGGUGACCCUGAUCCCUAGGAAGCUUGAUUUAACAGAACCUCACAUUCCAUCGAAAAUGACAUGCUCUAAAGGUGCCAUCUGUCGGAUCGCCGCAGAAAUGGCAUAUGGUAUCAUAAGUGUUUUCUUUACUGUAUUACCUGUAAUUAGAAAUUGUGUUGGCUUAAUGCGCACUUCAUAUCUAUAUAGAGAGCGGGUCCUCUUCUGCAGGCUCUGCCGUGUUGUACCGCCAUGUUUGUACAGUAGCCCAGAAUGGUGUUU